This 467-nucleotide ribosomal RNA is filed under the name uncultured bacterium. RNAcentral's name for it is "bacterial SSU rRNA". It matches the Rfam family "Bacterial small subunit ribosomal RNA", at positions 328 to 793 of the family's 1533-position model. The record is from RNAcentral.
UUCCCAGACUCCUACGGGAGGCAGCAGUGAGGAAUAUUGGUCAAUGGGCGAGAGCCUGAACCAGCCAAGUCGCGUGAGGGAAGACGGUCCUAUGGAUUGUAAACCUCUUUUGCCGGGGGGCAAAAAGCGGUACGUGUACCGCAUCGAGAGUACCCGGAGAAAAAGCAUCGGCUAACUCCGUGCCAGCAGCCGCGGUAAUACGGAGGAUGCGAGCGUUAUCCGGAUUUAUUGGGUUUAAAGGGUGCGCAGGGGGGGAGUUAAGGCAGGGGUAAAAUUUCGGGGCUCAACCCCGACAAGCCGUUGAAACUGGCUUGCUAGAGUGGGCGAGAAGUAUGCGGAAUGCGUGGUGUAGCGGUGAAAUGCAUAGAUAUCACGCAGAACCCCGAUUGCGAAGGCAGCAUACCGGCGCCCUACUGACGCUGAGGCACGAAAGUGCGGGUAUCGAACAGGAUUAGAUACCCUUGUAC